RNAcentral lists this ribosomal RNA (2511 nucleotides) under Escherichia coli KTE202. RNAcentral describes it as "bacterial LSU rRNA". It matches the Rfam family "Bacterial large subunit ribosomal RNA", at positions 1 to 2538 of the family's 2925-position model. Lineage: Bacteria; Pseudomonadati; Pseudomonadota; Gammaproteobacteria; Enterobacterales; Enterobacteriaceae. The record is from RNAcentral.
UUAAGCGACUAAGCGUACACGGUGGAUGCCCUGGCAGUCAGAGGCGAUGAAGGACGUGCUAAUCUGCGAUAAGCGUCGGUAAGGUGAUAUGAACCGUUAUAACCGGCGAUUUCCGAAUGGGGAAACCCAGUGUGAUUCGUCACACUAUCAUUAACUGAAUCCAUAGGUUAAUGAGGCGAACCGGGGGAACUGAAACAUCUAAGUACCCCGAGGAAAAGAAAUCAACCGAGAUUCCCCCAGUAGCGGCGAGCGAACGGGGAGGAGCCCAGAGCCUGAAUCAGUGUGUGUGUUAGUGGAAGCGUCUGGAAAGGCGCGCGAUACAGGGUGACAGCCCCGUACACAAAAAUGCACAUGCUGUGAGCUCGAUGAGUAGGGCGGGACACGUGGUAUCCUGUCUGAAUAUGGGGGGACCAUCCUCCAAGGCUAAAUACUCCUGACUGACCGAUAGUGAACCAGUACCGUGAGGGAAAGGCGAAAAGAACCCCGGCGAGGGGAGUGAAAAAGAACCUGAAACCGUGUACGUACAAGCAGUGGGAGCCUCUUUAUGGGGUGACUGCGUACCUUUUGUAUAAUGGGUCAGCGACUUAUAUUCUGUAGCAAGGUUAACCGAAUAGGGGAGCCGAAGGGAAACCGAGUCUUAACUGGGCGUUAAGUUGCAGGGUAUAGACCCGAAACCCGGUGAUCUAGCCAUGGGCAGGUUGAAGGUUGGGUAACACUAACUGGAGGACCGAACCGACUAAUGUUGAAAAAUUAGCGGAUGACUUGUGGCUGGGGGGGAAAGGCCAAUCAAACCGGGAGAUAGCUGGUUCUCCCCGAAAGCUAUUUAGGUAGCGCCUCGUGAAUUCAUCUCCGGGGGUAGAGCACUGUUUCGGCAAGGGGGUCAUCCCGACUUACCAACCCGAUGCAAACUGCGAAUACCGGAGAAUGUUAUCACGGGAGACACACGGCGGGUGCUAACGUCCGUCGUGAAGAGGGAAACAACCCAGACCGCCAGCUAAGGUCCCAAAGUCAUGGUUAAGUGGGAAACGAUGUGGGAAGGCCCAGACAGCCAGGAUGUUGGCUUAGAAGCAGCCAUCAUUUAAAGAAAGCGUAAUAGCUCACUGGUCGAGUCGGCCUGCGCGGAAGAUGUAACGGGGCUAAACCAUGCACCGAAGCUGCGGCAGCGACGCUUAUGCGUUGUUGGGUAGGGGAGCGUUCUGUAAGCCUGCGAAGGUGUACUGUGAGGUAUGCUGGAGGUAUCAGAAGUGCGAAUGCUGACAUAAGUAACGAUAAAGCGGGUGAAAAGCCCGCUCGCCGGAAGACCAAGGGUUCCUGUCCAACGUUAAUCGGGGCAGGGUGAGUCGACCCCUAAGGCGAGGCCGAAAGGCGUAGUCGAUGGGAAACAGGUUAAUAUUCCUGUACUUGGUGUUACUGCGAAGGGGGGACGGAGAAGGCUAUGUUGGCCGGGCGACGGUUGUCCCGGUUUAAGCGUGUAGGCUGGUUUUCCAGGCAAAUCCGGAAAAUCAAGGCUGAGGCGUGAUGACGAGGCACUACGGUGCUGAAGUAACAAAUGCCCUGCUUCCAGGAAAAGCCUCUAAGCAUCAGGUAACAUCAAAUCGUACCCCAAACCGACACAGGUGGUCAGGUAGAGAAUACCAAGGCGCUUGAGAGAACUCGGGUGAAGGAACUAGGCAAAAUGGUGCCGUAACUUCGGGAGAAGGCACGCUGAUAUGUAGGUGAAGCCACUUGCGGAUGGAGCUGAAAUCAGUCGAAGAUACCAGCUGGCUGCAACUGUUUAUUAAAAACACAGCACUGUGCAAACACGAAAGUGGACGUAUACGGUGUGACGCCUGCCCGGUGCCGGAAGGUUAAUUGAUGGGGUUAGCGGUAACGCGAAGCUCUUGAUCGAAGCCCCGGUAAACGGCGGCCGUAACUAUAACGGUCCUAAGGUAGCGAAAUUCCUUGUCGGGUAAGUUCCGACCUGCACGAAUGGCGUAAUGAUGGCCAGGCUGUCUCCACCCGAGACUCAGUGAAAUUGAACUCGCUGUGAAGAUGCAGUGUACCCGCGGCAAGACGGAAAGACCCCGUGAACCUUUACUAUAGCUUGACACUGAACAUUGAGCCUUGAUGUGUAGGAUAGGUGGGAGGCUUUGAAGUGUGGACGCCAGUCUGCAUGGAGCCGACCUUGAAAUACCACCCUUUAAUGUUUGAUGUUCUAACGUUGGCCCCUAAUCGGGGUUGCGGACAGUGUCUGGUGGGUAGUUUGACUGGGGCGGUCUCCUCCUAAAGAGUAACGGAGGAGCACGAAGGUUGGCUAAUCCUGGUCGGACAUCAGGAGGUUAGUGCAAUGGCAUAAGCCAGCUUGACUGCGAGCGUGACGGCGCGAGCAGGUGCGAAAGCAGGUCAUAGUGAUCCGGUGGUUCUGAAUGGAAGGGCCAUCGCUCAACGGAUAAAAGGUACUCCGGGGAUAACAGGCUGAUACCGCCCAAGAGUUCAUAUCGACGGCGGUGUUUGGCACCUCGAUGUCGGCUC